AACAACAUGACCUCCAAGACAGGGUCACCGUACCACUCUGUAGCAGUACGCGACCUUGUCGACCUACGAGGUUUGUAGUAGCUUGAUCAGAAGCUUAAUGAUCACAAUCAUUAGUUUCCACUUCAAUUUGCGUAGGCGCCACAUGAACAAAUUCCUGCGCCCUGCUACACACUAGUUGAAGUGAUGGUUCAAUAACCUCAUCAAGUUCCACCAUCCUCCCACUCAGUUCUUUCGAGAGAAACUUUUCCUCGAGAAAGGACCCGUUUCUAGAAACAAACACUUUGCUUCCGGAUCUGAGAUAGGAGGUAUACCCAACUAUUUUGGGUGUCCUAUGAAGAUGCGUUUAUCCGCUCUGGGUUCGAGCUUAUCAUGCUGAAACUUUUCCACAUGAGCAUCGCAGCCCCAAACUUUUAAGAAACGACAGCUUAGGUUUCUCCAAACCAUAGUUCAUACGGUGUCAUCUCAACGGAAUUACGUGGUACCCUAUUUAAAGUGAAUGUGGUUGUCUCUAAUGCCUAACCCAAAACGAUAGUGGUAUUUCGAUAAGAGACAUCAUAGUAUGCACCAUAUCAAAUAGGGCGCGGCUAUGACAUUCAGACAAACCAUCACACUAUGGUGUUCUAGGUGGCAUGAACUGCAAAACAAUUUCCACAUUGUCUUAACCGUGUACCAAAACUCGCAGCUCAGAUAUUCAUCUCUAUGAUCAUAUCGUAGACAGUUUAUCCUCUUGUCACGAUGAUCUUCACUCUGGAAUAGCUUUGAACUUUUCAAUAUUUCAGACUUGUGAUUCAUCAAGUAAAUACUCAUGUAUCUACUCAAAUCAUCAGUGAAGUGAGAACAUAACGAUAUCCACUGCGUGCCUUAGCACUCAUUGGACUGCACAUAUCAAAAAUCUAUUGCAUCCAACAAGUUACUUUCUUGUUCCAUGUGGUAUGAUUUUGCAUGUCUCAAGUGAGUUAAAAUCAAGUGAUUCCAAACGAUCCAUCUGCAUGGAGUUUCUUCAUGCGUUUAUACCAACAGGUAUGGUUUCCAUGUCUCAAACGUUUCAAAAAUGAGUGAGUACAAAGAUCCAUAAGCAUGGAGUUUCUUCAUGCAUUUUACACCAACAUGACUCAAGCGGCAGUGCCACAAGUAAGUGGUUCUAUCAUUAUUACUUUGUAUCUUUUGGCACCACUAUUAUGAAUAUGUGUAACACUACGAUCGAGAUUCAAUAAAUCAUUGAAGGUAAUUAUUCAAGAAAAUAGAAUAACCAUUAUUCUCUUUAAAUGAAUAAUCGUAUUGCAAUAAACACGAUCCAAUCAUGUUCAUGCUCAAAGCAAACACCAAAUAACAAUUAUUUAGGUUUAACACCAAUCCCGAUGGUAGAGGGAGCGUGCGAUGUUUUGAUCACAUCAACCUUGGAAACACUUUCAACACGUAUCGUCACCUCGCCUUUAGCUAGUCUCCGUUUAUUUCGUAGCUUUUAUUUCGAGUUACCAAUCACUUAGCAACCGAACCGGUAUCUAAUACCCUCGUGCUACUAGGAGUACUAGUAAAGUACACAUCAAUAUCAUGUAUAUCAAAUAUACUUCUGUUGACUUCGCCAGCCUACUCAUCUACCAAGUAUAUAGGGUAGCUCCGCCUCAGUGACCGUUCACCUCAUAACAAAAGCACUUAAUCUCGGGUUUGGGUUCAAUCUUGGGUUUCUUCAUUAGAGCAGCAACUGGUUUGUCGUUUCAUGAAGUAUCUCUUCUAGCCCUUGCCCUUCUUGAAACUAGUGGUUUUACUAACCAUCAACAAUUGAUGCUCCUUCUUGAUUUCUACUUUCGUAGUGUCAAACAUUGUGAAUCGCUCAAGGAUCAUCAUAUAUAUCCUUGAUAUGUUAUAGUUCAUCACGAAGCUCUAGCAGCUUGGUGGCAGUGACUUUGGAGAACCAUCACUAUCUCAUCUGGAAGAUUAACUCCCACUUGAUUCAAGCGAUUGUUAUACUGAGCACAUGCUCAACGAUUGAGCUUUUCUCCUUUACUUUGUAGACAAAGAAUCUUGUUGGAGGUCUCAUACCUUUCAACAAGGGCACGAGCAUGAAAUCUCAAUUUCAUAUCUUAGAACAUCUUUUAUGUUCCGUGACGUUUCAAAAUGUCUUCGGCGUCUUGCAUCUAAGCCAUUAAGUAUUACGCACUGAACUAUCACGUAGUCAUGAAAAAUGUGUAUGUCAGAUGUUCGCAACAUCCACAGACGACGCUUGAGGUGCAGCACACCGAGUGGUGCAUUAAGGACAUAAGCCUUCUACGCAGCAAUGAGGACAAUCCUCAGUUUUACGUACUCAGUCCGCAAAGUUACUACUAUCAUCUUUCAACUAAAUUUUCUCUAGGAACAUAUAAAAAAACAGUAGAGCUAUAGCGCAAGCUACAUCAUAAUUCGCAAAGACCUUUUGACCAUGCUCAUGAUAAUUAGUUCAAUUAAUCAUAUUACUUAAGAACUCCCACUCAAAAAAUACAUCCCUCUAGUCAUUUCAGUGGUGCAUGAUCCAAAUCCACUAACCCAAGUCCGAUCAUCACGUGAGUUGCGUAUAGUUUCAGUGGUAAACAUCUCUAUGCUAAUCAUAUCAACUAUAUGAUUCAUGCUCGACCUUUCGGUCUCUUGUGUUCCGAGGCCAUGUCUGCACAUGCUAAGCUCGUCAAGUUUAACCCGAGUGUUCCGCGUGUGCAACUGUUUUGCACCCGUUGUAUGCGAACGUUGAGUCUAUCACACCCGAUCAUCACGUGGUGUCUCGAAACGACGAACUGUCGCAACGGUGCAUAGUCGGGGAGAACACAAUUUUAUCUUGAAAUUUUAGUGAAGGAUCACGUUAUAAUGCUACCAUCGUUCUAAGAAAGAUAAGGUGCAUAAAAGGAUUAACAGCACAUGCAAUUCAUAAGUGACAUGAUAUGGCCAUGAUCUUGUGCUUCUUGAUCUCCAUCACCAAAGCACCGACAUGAUCUUCAUCGUCACCGGCACCACACCAUGAUCUCCACCAUCGUGCCGCCAUCGAGGUUGUCGUGCUAUAUACGCUAUCACUACUAAAGCUACAACCUAGCGAUAUAGUAAACGCAUAUGCAAACACAAACGUUAGUUUAAAGACAACCUUAUGGAUCCUGCCAGUUGCCGUAGCAUCGACGUGCAAGUCGAUAUUUAACUAUUACAAAAUGAUCAUCUCAUACAUCCAAUAUAUCACAUCAUGUCUUUGGCCAUAUCACAUCACAUGCAUACCCUGCAAAAACAAGUUAGACAUCCUCUAAUUUGUUGUUGCAUGUUUUACGUGGCUCCUAUGGGUAUCUAGUAUGAUCGCAUCUUACUUACGCAUAGCCACAACGGUAAUAUGCAAAUUGCUAUUUAACCUUUCUCCAAGGACCGCCUCGGUCAAAUCCGAUUCAACUAAAGUUGAAGAAACAGACACCCGCCAGUCAUCUUUAUGCAACAAGUUGCAUGUUAGUCGAUGAAACCGGUCUCUUGUAAGCGUACGAUUAAGGUUGGUUUGGGCCGCUUCAAUCCAACAAUACCGCCGAAUCGAGAAAAUACUAAGGAGGGCAGCAAAUUGAACAUCAAUGCCCACAAAAACUUGUUUGUUCUACUCGAGAUUACAUCUACGCAUGAACCUAGCUCAUGAUGCCACUAUUGGGGAACGUUUCAUGGGAAACUAAAAAAUUCCUACACACACGAAGACCUAUCAUGGUGAUGAUCAUCUACGAGAGGGAGAUCGGGUCCACAUACCCUUGUAGAUCGCUAAGUGGAAAUGUUAAGAAACGUGUAUGAUGUAGUGGUAUGUCUUCACGAUCCGUCCCACGAACCGUCUCACGAUCCGUCCCGAUCAAGUGUUGAACGGACGGCACCUCCGCGUUCCGCACACGUACAGCUCGAUGACGAUCUCCGCCUUCUUGAUCCAGCAAGAGGGGCGGAGAGGUAGAUGAGUUCUCCAGCAUGGCGAUGUGGUGGUGGUGUUGGUGGUGCUAUUCCAGCAGGGCUUCGCCUAAGCACCGCUGAAACUAGAGGAGAAACAGAUCUAGAGAGAGAGGGCAGCACGUGGCUGUUUCUGUUGUCCAAAAACCCUCAAAACCCUUAGUAUAUAUAGGAGGAGAGGAGGGAGAGGGUUGCGCCCUAGAGCAACCUUCUCUUCCCUUGCGCAAGGGAGAGGAGGAGGAGUCCUACUCCAAUCCUAUUUGGAGUAGGAUUCCUCCUUCCCACUUGGAAACUCUUUCCACCUUGUGUUUUUCCUUCUCAAACCUUAUGGGUCUUAGUGGGAACUUAUUCGAGCCCACUAGGGGAUGGUUUAUCUCUUGCCACAGCCCAUAAGGCCUCUUGGGGCGUGACACCCCUCCCGAUGGUCCCCGGCACACCUCCCGGCACUCCCGGUACACUACCGAUGAGCCCGAAACUUUUCCCGUGACCAAAACAGGACUCCCUAUAUAUCAAUCUUCAUUUCCGGACCAUUCUGGAAACCUUCGUGAUGUACGGGAUCUCAUCCGGCACUCUGAACAACCUUCGGUCACCAACACAUAUAACUUAACUAUACCGAAACAUCACCGAACUUUAAGUGUGUAGACCCUGCGGGUUCGAGAACUAUGUAGACAUGACCUGAGACACUCUUCGGUCAAUAACCAACGGCGGGACCUCGAUGUUCAUAUUGGCUCCUACAUAUUCUACGAAUAUCUCUAUCGGUUGAACCUCUAUGUCAAGGAUUAAUAUAAUCCCGUAUACUAUUCCCUUUGUCCUUCGGUAUGUUACUUGCCCGAGAUUCGAUCGUUGGUAUCUCCAUACCGAGUUCAAUCUCGUUACCGGCAAGUCUCUUUACUCGUUCCAUAAUACAAGAUCUCGUGACUAACUCCUUAGUCAUAUUGCUUGCAAGGCUUGUUGUGAUGUUGUAUUACCGAGUGGGCCCCCUAGAUACCACUCCGUCACAUGGAGUGACAAAUCACAGUCUUGAUCCAUGCCAACCUAAUAGACACCUUUGGAGAUACGUGUAGAGCACCUUUAUGGUCACCCAGUUAUGUUGUGACGUUUGAUACACACAAGGCAUUCCUCCGGUGUCCGGGAGUUGUGAUACGUCCAUUUUGCAUCAUGUUUUCAUGUUGAUAUUUAUUGCUUCUUGGGAUGUUAUAUUACUUGUGGUGCCAUAUUUAUGCCUUUUCGCUCUUAUUUUGCAAGGAUUAUUUGAAGAGGGAGAAUUCAGGCAGCUGGAAUUCUGGACUAGAAAAGGAGCAAAUCCUAGUCCACUAUUCUGCACAUCUCCAAAUGCCCUGAAAAUUUUCGUGGAUUUUUUCUAGAAUAUAUUAAAAAUACUGGGCGAAAGAACUACCAGAGGGGGCCACCAGGGCCCCACAAGCUUGCCCACCGCCGCCGCCCCCCUGGUGGCGCACGGCAGGCUUGUGGGCAGCCCACUGGCCCACUAGCCCCCCUCUUUUGCUAUAUGAUGCGUCCUGACCUGGAGAAAAUCAUACAGGAGCUUUUUCGUGGUUUCCCCGCCGCCACAGGGCGGAACUUGAGUAGAUCCAAUCUAGAGCUCCGGCAGGACGAUCUUGUCGGGGAAAUUUCCCUCCCGGAGGGGGGAAUCAUCACCAUCUUCAUCACCAACACUCCUCUCAGCGGAGGGGAGGCAUCUUCAUCAACAUCUUCAUCGGCACCAUCUCUUCUCCAAUCCCUAGUUCAUCUCUUGUAACCAAUCUUCGUCUCGCAACUCAGAUUAGUACUUGUAAGGUUGCUAGUAGUGUUGAUUACUCUUUGUAGUUGAUGCUUGUUGGAUUACUUGGUGGAAGAGUUUAUGUUCAGAUCCUUGAUGCUAUUCAUUACACCUCUGGUCAUGAUUAUGAUUAUAUCUUGUGAGUAGUUACUUUUGUUCCUAAGGACAUGGAAUAAGUCAUGCUGAUAAUAGUCAUGUGAAUUUGAUAUUCGUUCAGUAUUUUGAUAUGAUGUAUGUUGUUUUUCCUCUAGUGGUGUUAUGUGAACGUGGACUACAUAACACUUCACCAUAUUUGAGCCUAGAGGAAGGCAUUGUGAAGUAGUAAGUAGAUGAUGGGUUGCUGGAGUGACAGAAGCUUAAACCCCAGUUUAUGCGUUGCUUCGUGAGGGGAUGAUUUGGAUCCACUAGUUUAAUGCUAUGGUUAGACUUUGUCUUAAUUCUUCUUUUGUAGUUGCGGAUGCUUGCUAGAGAGGUUAAUCAUAAGUGGGAUGCUUGUCCAAGUAAGGUCAGUACCCAAGCGCCGGUCCACCCACAUAUCAAACUAUCAAAGUAACGAACGCGAAUCAUAUGAACAUGAUGAAACUAGCAUGACAGAAAUUCUCAUGUGUCCUCGGGAGCAUUUUUCCUCCUAUAUGACUUUGUUCAGGCUUGUCCCUUGCUACAAAAGGGAUUGGGCCACUUGCUGCACCGUUGCUACUACUUGUUAUUUGUUACUCUUUGCUUGCUACGUUUCACCUCGCUACACAAUCACUUGUUACCGCUACUUUCAGUGCUUGCAGUUAUUACCUUGCUGAAAUUCGUUUAUCACAGCCUUCUGCUCCUCGUUGGGUUCGACAAUCUUACUUAUAGAAAGGACUAUGAUUGAUCCCCUAUACUUGUGUUGGAAAUAUGCCCUAGAGGCAAUAAUAAAUUAGUUAUUAUUAUAUUUCUUUGUUCAUGAUAAUCGUUUCUUAUCCAUGCUAUAAUUGUAUUGAUUGGAAACACAGUGCAUGUGUGGAUACACAGACAAAACACAGUCCCUAGUAAGCCUCUAGUUGACUAGCUCGUUGAUCAAAGAUGGUCAAGGUUUCCUGACCAUAGGCAAGUGUUGUCACUUGAUAACGGGAUCACAUCAUUAGGAGAAUCAUGUGAUGGACUAGACCCAAACUAAUAAGACGUAGGAUGUUGAUCGUGUCAUUUUGUUGCUAUUGUUUUCUGCGUCUCAAGUAUUUGUUCCUAUGACCAUGAGAUCAUAUAACUCACUGACACCGGAGGAAUGCUUUGUGUGUAUCAAACGUUGCAACGUAACUGGGUGACUAUAAAGAUGCUCUAUAGGUAUCUCCGAAGGUGUUCGUUGAGAUAGUAUGGAUCGAGACUGGGAUUUGUCACUCCGUGUGACGGAGAGGUAUCUCGGGGCCCACUCGGUAAUACAACAUCACNNNNNNNNNNNNNNNNNNNNNNNNNNNNNNNNNNNNNNNNNNNNNNNNNNNNNNNNNNNNNNNNNNNNNNNNNNNNNNNNNNNNNNNNNNNNNNNNNNNNNNNNNNNNNNNNNNNGGUAAACGAGAUUGAAAUAGGUAUGCGGAUACUGACGAUCGAAUCUCGGGCAAGUAACAUACCGAAGUACAAAGGGAAUGACAUACGGGAUUAUAUGAAUCCUUGGCACCGAGGUUCAAACGAUAAGAUCUUCGUAGAAUAUGUAGGAUCCAAUAUGGGCAUCCAAGUCCCGCUAUUGGAUAUUGACCGAGGAGUCACUCGGGUCAUGUCUACAUAGUUCUCGAACCCGCAGGGUCUGUACACUUAAGGUUCGACGUUGUUUUAUGCGUAUUUGAGUUAUAUGGUUGGUUACCGAAUGUUGUUCGGAGUCCCGGAUGAGAUCACGGACAUCACGAGGGUUUCCGGAAUGGUCCGGAAACAAAGAUUGAUAUAUAGGAUGACCUCAUUUGAUUACCGGAAGGUUUUCGGAGUUACCGGGAAUAUACCGGGAAUGACGAAUGGGUUCCUCGGAAUGUACCAGGAAUGACGAAUGGGUUCCGGGUGUUCACCGGGGGGGCAACCCACCCCGGGGAAGCCCAUAGGCCUUGGGGGUGGCGCACCAGCCCUUAGUGGGCUGGUGGGACAGCCCAAUAAGGCCCUAUGCGCCAUAGGAAGAAAAUCAAAGAGAAAAAGGAAAAAAGAAAAGGGGAGGUGAGAAAAAGGGGAAGGACUCCACCUUCCAAACCUAGUUGGAUUCGGUUUGGAAGGGGAGGACUCCCCCCCUUGGCUCGACCGACCCCCAAGGCAAGGCCCCCCUCUCCCACCUAUAUAUACGGAGGUUUUAGGGUUGAUUUGAGACAACUUUGCCACGGCAGCCCGACCACAUACCACCAUGGUUUUACCUCUAGAUCGCGUUUCUGCGGAGCUCGGGUGGAGCCCUGCUGAGAUUAGAUCACCACCAAACUCCGGAGCGCCGUCAUGCUGCCCGAGAACUCAUCUACCUCUCCGUCUCUCUUGCUGGAUCAAGAAGGCCGAGAUCAUCGUCGAGCUGUACGUGUGCUGAACGCGGAGGUGCCGUCCGUUCGGCACUAGAUCGUGGGACGGAUCGCGGGACGGUUUGCGGGGCGGAUCGAGGGACGUGAGGACGUUCCACUACAUCAACCGCGUUUCUUAACGCUUCUGCUGUGCGAUCUACAAGGGUACAUAGAUCAAAUAUCCCCUCUCGUAGAUGGACAUCACCAUGAUAGGUCUUCGUGCGCGUAGGAAAAUUUUUGUUUCCCAUGCGACGUUCCCCAACAACUUGUGGGUCAUCAAGACUCUUUUCUGGCGCCGUUGCCGGGGAGUGAAGCGCCUUUGGUAAGUGGAAAUUGGUAAGGAAACAAUUUUAUACUGUGCUGAAAUUUAUUGUCACUUGUCACUAUGGAAACUCUUCCUUUGAGGAGUUUGUUCGGGGUAUCUUCACCAUGAACGGAAGCACGAGGAUUUGCUCCUCAACCUGAGGUACCUACUGAAAAUAUCUUUUAUAAAAUUCCUUUGGGUAUGCUUGAGAAAUUGCUGGCUAAUCCUUUUACAGGAGAUGGAUCUUCACAUCCAGACUUUCAUCUAAUCUAUGUAGAUGAAGUUUGUGGUUUAUUUAAGCUUGCAGGUUUGCCCGAGGAUGAGGUAAAGAAGAAACUCUUUCCUUUAUCUUUGAAGGAUAAGGCAUUGACAUGGUAUAGGCUAUGUGAUGAUACUGGAUCAUGCAGCUACAAUCGGUUGAAAUUGGAAUUUCAUCAAAAGUUCUAUCCCAUGCAUUUAGUAUAUCAUGAUCGGAACUUUAUUUAUAACUUUUGGCCUCGUGAUAGGGAAAGCAUAGCUCAAGCUUGGGGGAGGCUUAAAUCAAUGCUAUAUUCAUGCCCCAAUCAUGAGCUCUCGAGAGAAAUCAACACUCAAAACAUUUAUGCUCGGAUUUCUCAUGAAGAUCGUACCAUGCUUGAUACUUCUUGUGCCGGUUCUUUUAUGAAGAAGAAUAUUGAUCACAAGUGGAAUUUAUUGGAGAGAAUCAAACGCAACUCUGGAGAUUGGGAGCUGGAGGAAGGUAAGGACUCAGGUAUGAAUUUCUAUUUUGAUUGCGUUAAAUCUUUUGUUGAGACAAACACUUCUAGAGAGCGCUAAGUAUGGACUUGACUCUGAGAUAGUAGCUUCUCUUUGUAAAUCUUUUGCUGCUCAUGUUGAUCUUCCCAAAGAGAAGUGGUUUAAAUAUCAUCCUCCUGUAGAAAGCAACAUAGCCAAAACCAAUCUAGUUGAGGAGAAAAUCAUAGCUUUUAGUGAUCCUGUUGUUCCUUGUGCUUACACUGAGAAACCACCAUACCCUGCUAGGAUGAAGGAUUAUUCUAAAGCUCCAACUGUGAUACGUAGGGGUUACAUUAGACCACUUGCACCCCCUGAAGAGAUUAGAGUUGAACCUAGUGUUGCUAUUAUCAAAGAUCUCUUAGCCAAAGAGAUAGAUGGGCAUGUUAUCAAAUUCUGUGAGGACUCCGCUAGAAUUGCUAAACCUCACGCGAAAGACAAGCACGGACCUGUAGUUGGCCUGCCCGUUGUUUCUGUUAAGAUAGGAGAUCACUGUUACCAUGGUUUAUGUGAUAUGGGAGCUAGUGUUAGUGCAAUACCCCGUUCUCUAUAUGAUGAAAUCAAAGAUGAGAUUGCACCAGCUGAGAUAGAACCCAUUGAUGUCACUAUCACGCUAGCUAAUAGAGACACUAUAUGCCCUUUGGGAAUUGUGAGAGAUGUAGAAGUCCUGUGUGGUAAGACGAAGUAUCCUACUGAUUUCCUCGUCCUUGGUACUACACAAGAUAGCUUUUGUCCCAUCAUAUUCGGUAGACCCUUUCUCAACACUAUCAAUGCUCACAUUGAUUGCAUUAAGCAGACUGUCAUAGUAAGUUUCGAGGGUGUGUCUCAUGAAUUUAACUUCUCCAAGUUUGGAAGACAACCCCAUGAAAGAGAUUCAUCUGGUAGGGAUGAAAUCAUUGCUCUUUCCUCUAUUGCCAUACCUCCUACGAAUCCUUUAGAGCAAUAUCUGCUUGAGCAUGAAAAUGAUAUGCAUACGGAGGAGAGAGAUGAGAUAGAUAGAAUUGUCUUAGAACAAUGUCCUAUUCUCAAGAAUAAUCUGCAUGUUGAACUGCUUGGGGAUCCUCCCCCACCAAAGGGUGAUCCUGUGUUCGAGCUUAAACAGUUGCCUGAUACUCUUAAGUAUGCCUAUCUUGAUGAGAAGGAGAUAUAUCCUGUCAUUAUUAGUGCUCUCCUCUCAGAGCGUGAAGAGAAGAAGUUACUAAAAACUCUGAGGAAGCACCGCGCUGCUAUUGGAUAUACUCUUGAUGAUCUUAAGGGUAUUAGUCCUACUCUAUGUCAGCACAAGAUUAAAACCGAUCCUGACUUUAAACCAGUUGCUGAUCAUCAAAGGAGAUUAAAUCCUAAGAUGAAAGAGGUCGUUAGAAAAGAAAUAUUAAAGCUUCUGGAAGCAGGAAUCAUUUAUCCUAUUGCUCAUAGUGAUUGGGUAAGUCCAGUACAUUGCGUACCUAAGAAGGGAGGUAUCACCGUCGUUCCUAAUGAUAAGGAUGAACUAAUCCCACAAAGGAUUAUUACCGGCUAUAGAAUGGUGAUAGACUUCCGGAAACUGAACAAGGCAACCAGGAAAGAUCAUUAUCCUUUGCCGUUCAUCGACCAAAUGCUAGAAAGGCUAUCAAAGCACACACACUUUUGCUUUCUAGACGGUUAUUCAGGUUUCUCGCAAAUACCUGUUGCAUAAUUUGAUCAAGAGAAAACCACCUUCACCUGCCCUUUCGAUACCUUUGCCUAUAGAUGUAUGCCUUUUGGCUUAUGUAAUGCACCUGCCACCUUUCAAAGAUGUAUGAUGGCUAUAUUCUCUGACUUUUGUGAAAAGAUUGUCGAGGUUUUCAUGGAUGACUUCUCCAUUUACGGGUCUUCCUUUGAUGAUUGCCUCAGCAACCUUGAUCGAAUCUUACAGAGAUGCGAAUAAACCAACCUCGUCUUGAAUUGGGAGAAGUGCCACUUUAUGGUUAAUGAAGGUAUCGUCUUAGGACACAAAAUCUCUGAAAGAGGCAUUGAAGUUGAUAAGGCUAAGGUUGAUGCAAUUGAGAAAAUGCCUUGCCCCACAGAUAUCAGAGGUAUACGAAGUUUCCUAGGUCAUGCUGAUUUCUAUAGAAGGUUCAUUAAAGACUUCUCUAAGAUUUCUAGGCCUCUUACCAACCUCUUGCAGAAGGAUGUUCCUUUUGUUUUUGAUGAGGAUUGUGAGGAAGCCUUCGAAAUACUUAAGAAGGCUUUGAUAACCGCACCUAUUGUUCAACCACCUGACUGGAACUUUCCCUUUGAAAUCAUGUGUGACGCUAGUGAUUAUGCUGUUGGUGUUGUUCUAGGACAAAGAGUUGACAAGAAGUUGAAUGUCAUUCACUACGCUAGUAAAACUCUAGACAGUGCCCAAAGGAACUAUGCCACUACGGAGAAGGAAUUUUUAGCACUCGUGUUUGCAUGUGAAAAAAUCAGAUCUAACAUAGUUGACUCCAAGGUCACUAUUCACUCUGAUCAUGCUCCUAUUAAGUACCUUAUGGAGAAGAAGGACGCUAAGCCUAGGCUUAUCAGAUGGGUUCUCCUGCUACAGGAAUUUGAUUUGCACGUCAUUGACCGAAAGGGUGCUGAUAACCCUGUAGCAGAUAACUUGUCUAGGCUAGAGAAUGUCCUUGAUGACCCACUACCAAUUGAUGACAGCUUUCCUGAUGACCAAUUAAAUGUCAUCCGCACUUCACUUAGUGCACCAUGGUAUGCCGAUUAUGCAAACUAUAUCGUAGCCAAAUACAUACCACCCAGUUUCACCUAUCAACAAAAGAAGAAAUUCUUCUUUGAUUUGAGACACUACUUUUGGGAUGAUCCUCACCUUUAUAAGGAAGGAGUAGAUGGUGUUAUUAGACGUUGUGUGCCUGAACAUGAACAGGGACAGAUCCUGCAGAAGUGUCAUUCCGAAGCCUACGGAGGACACCACGCUGGAGAUAGAACUGCCCAUGAGGUAUUGCAAUCAGGUUUCUAUUGGCCCACUCUCUUCAAGGAUGCUCGUAAGUUUGUCUUGUCUUGUGACAAAUGCCCAAGGAUAGGGAACAUCAGUAAGCGUCACAAGAUGCCUAUGAACUAUUCACUUGUCAUUGAACCAUUUGAUGUCUGGGGCUUUGAUUAUAUGGGACCCUUCCCGAGUUCCAGUGGGUACACUCACAUCUUAGUUGUUGUGGAUUACGUUACUAAGUGGGUAGAAGCUAUCCCCACUAAAAAUGCUGAUCACCACAACUCUAUUAAGAUGCUUAAAGAAGUUAUAUUCCCAAGAUUUGGAGUCCCUAGAUACUUGAUGACUGAUGGCGGUUCACACUUCAUUCAUGGUGUUUUCCGCAAGAUGCUAGCUAAGUAUGAUGUCAACCAUAGAGUUGCAUCUCCUUAUCAUCCUCAGUCUAGUGGUCAAUUGGAGUUGAGUAAUAGGGAGAUCAAGUUGAUCUUACAAAAGACCGUCAAUAGAUCCCGAAAGAACUGGUCUAGCAAACUUGACGAUGCACUAUGGGCUUAUAGGACUGCUUAUAAAAAUCCCAUGGGCAUGUCACCGUAUAAAAUGGUUUACGGUAAGGCCUGUCAUUUACCUCUUGAGUUGGAACACAAAGCUUAUUGGGCAAUCAAAGAGCUCAACUUUGAUUUCAAACUUGCCAGUGAGAAGCGGUUGUUUGAUAUCAGCUUGUUGGAUGAAUGGAGAGCCCAGGCAUAUGAGAAUACCACGUCGUCAAGGAAAAGGUUAAGAGAUGGCACGACAAACGAAUACAGAAACGAGAGUUCAAUGUAGGUGAUUAUGUCUUGCUAUACAAUUCUCGUUUGAGAUUCUUUGGAGGCAAGCUUCUCUCUAAAUGGGAAGGUCCCUACGUUGUCGAGGAAGUAUAUCGUUCCGGUGCCAUCAAAAUCAAUAAUACAAGGAAAUUUUCCUAGAGUGGUAAAUGGGCAAAGAAUCAAGCAUUACAUCUCUGGUACUCCCAUAAAUGUUGAGACCAAUAUCAUCAAUGUCAUAACUCCACAGGAGUACAUAAGGGAUGUUUAUCAGCCUGUUUCAGACCUUGAAAACGAAGAUGUAUCUGUUUCGGCAAGAAAUUGGACUCCGAUACUUUUCCAAUAGGAAAUUUCCUCAGUUUUGGAAUUUUUGGAAAAUUAGAAAAAUAAAAAAGCAGUCCGGAGAGCAAACGAGGAAGCCACAAGGGCCCACUCCGCCACCACCCCCUGGUGGCGGUGGGCAAGCUUGUGGGCACCUUGUGUGCCUCCCGGACUCCGUUUUCUUGCAGAGGACUCCUUCUGGCCCAGAAAAAAUCAAUAUAUAGUUGCCCGAAGGUUUUGAUCUUCAUAUCGCGUAGUUUUCCUCUGUUUUCGUUUCGAGCUUGUUUCUGCCGCAGAUCUAGAUCAUCAUGACUUCCCCAAACGCUCCUAAGGACAAGAUCUUGGAGAAGGUCAUCAAUCCCUACCUCACGGAAGUGCUAAAACACCAUCAAUCUAUCAAGAUGAGCGAGGGGAUGUUGCACAUCCGUGAUGUUGAGGGGCCUAAGAAGACCGGAAGCAUGGAGACGAGGCUCGAAGUAGUGGAGCAACAAGUCUUCAUGUGCCAAGGGAUGGUUGAGCGUGGACUCAACGCCAACCACACGAUGAUCACGGAGUUCACUAGCAAUCACAAGAUGGAUGUCAUUGAUAUCGGGAAACACCUCUCCAGACUUUACGAUAGGGUUGACCAACUUCAGGGCCAAAUCUAUGACCUGCAGAAUCAAAACUGUGAGUAUGGGUAUAGAUUUAAAUCAAUAAGGUUGGCUGCAGAUUUGAGGAUUUCGGCUACUCGUUCAUCCUGCCAUGAUGGAGCACCUAUGCCUUGGAAGACGGAGGAUCAGACUACUCCAACAACACCACCAUCAUCACCAAAGGAAGACAACUAAGCAUUGGUAUGGGCAAUCCCCUUGGCUUCUGCCGAGCUUGGGGGAGUUGCCCUGGUAUCAUAUCACCUUUAUAUCUUUUGCUUUUACCUUUGUUUUAGUUCUUUCCCUUUCAGUUUUUAUUUCUUCUUUUAGAGGAAUAAGUCUUUAGUUUUUAGUUUGAGUCUUUUGCUUUUGGUCUCUCCCCCGAUGUAUUCGAGCUUACGAGCUAUAUAAUAAAGAGUGUCUUAGUCAAAGGGCUUUGCUUUGUGCCAUGAUCAAAAGUAUGAAAAGAACGAUAGCAUGAAAGAUCAUGAGACGAUCUUAUGGAAAGUGAUAACUUCACUUAUGACACGUAUGAUGAUUGAAACUUGUCGAGAAUAAAUCAACACAUACCUCAGUCAUUGUUGCAAUUAAUAAGAAGUAAUAAGGAAAGAGAGGUUCACAUAUAAAUAUAUCAUCUUAGACACUUUCUACAAUUGUGAGCACUCACCAAACUAUUACAUGCCUAGGAGUAGAUGUUGGACAAGGAAGACAACAUAAUGAAUUGUGUUUGCUUGGUUCCAAACAAUGUUAUAUGAUUAGAGAUCCCUUAGCAUGUGACGAUUGCUUCCACCUCAUAUUAGCCAAAACUUCCGCACCAAGUAGAGAUACUACUUGUGCAUCCAUAAACCUUCAACCCAGUUUUGCCAUGAGAGUCCACCAUACCUACCUAUGGAUUGAAUAAGAUCCUUCAAGUAAGUUGUCAUCGGUGCAAGCAAUAAAAAUUGCUCUCUAAUAUGUAUGAUCUAUUAGUGUGUGGAAAAUAAGCUUUGUACGAACCUGUGAUGAGGAAGACAUAAAAGCGACAGACUGCAUAAUAAAGUUCUUUGUCACAGGAGGCAAUAUAAAGUGACGUUCCUCCGCACUAAGAGGACACGCAUUCAAACCUCAAAAGUGCAUGACAACCUCUGCUUCCCUCUGCGAAGGGCCUAUCUUGUACCUUUACUUUUACCCUUGUAAGAGUCAUGGUGAUCAUCACCAAUUCCCUUUUUGCCUUCGUCUUGGCUACCGUCACAUGCUUGGAAAAGAUCUAUAUUCAUAUAUCAACUUGGAGUUGAGUACUCAUGCUUUAUUGUUGUUGACUUUACCCUUGAGGUAAACCGUUGGGAGGAAAAACUAUAAGCCCCCAUCUUCCUCUGUGUCGAGCUGAAGCUUUGACACCAUGAGUACCACGUGAGCUAUAAAAAUUGUGGAAAACAAAAGAGAUGAUUGAGUAUGUGGGUUUGCCUUACAAGCUCUUAUUUGACUCUUUCUGAUGUUGUGAUAAAUUGCAAUUGCUUCAAUGAUUAUGGACUAUUGUUGGUUACUUCUCGGUAAGGUUUUUGCUUCAUGCUUUGCUUUGUGAAGGAAUUGUUACUUUCCCAUAAGAAUCUUUAUAUAUAUUGUUGUUCUAUGUGUGAUCAUGAUGCCCUCAUGUCUGUAUUAUGUUUUAUCGACACCUUCGUCCCUCAACAUGUGGACGUGUUUAUGGAACUUGGUUUUCGCUUGAGGACAAGCGAGGUCUAAGCUUGGGGGAGUUGAUACGUCCAUUUUGCAUCAUGUUUUCAUGUUGAUAUUUAUUGCUUCUUGGGAUGUUAUAUUACUUGUGGUGCCAUAUUUAUGCCUUUUCGCUCUUAUUUUGCAAGGAUUAUUUGAAGAGGGAGAAUUCAGGCAGCUGGAAUUCUGGACUAGAAAAGGAGCAAAUCCUAGUCCACUAUUCUGCACAUCUCCAAAUGCCCUGAAAAUUUACGUGGAUUUUUUCUGGAAUAUAUUAAAAAUACUGGGCGAAAGAACUACUGGAGGGGGGCCACCAGGGCCCCACAAGCUUGCCCACCACCACCACCCCCUGGUGGCGCACGGUAGGCUUGUGGGCAGCCCACUAGCCCACUAGCCCCCCUCUUUUGCUAUAUGAUGCGUCCUGACCUGGAAAAAAUCAUACAGGAGCUUUUUCGUGGUUUCGCCGCCACCACGGGGCGGAACUUGAGCAGAUCCAAUCUAGAGCUCUGGCAGGACAAUCCUGCCGGGGAAAUUUCCCUCCCGGAGGGGGGAAUCGUCGCCAUCUUCAUCACCAACACUCCUCUCGUCGGAGGGGAGGCAUCUUCAUCAACAUCUUCAUCAGCACCAUCUCUUCUCCAAUCCCUAGUUCAUCUCUUGUAACCAAUCUUCAUCUCGCAACUCAAAUUGGUACUUGUAAGGUUGCUAGUAGUGUUGAUUACUCUUUGUACUUGAUGCUUGUUGGAUUACUUGGUGGAAGAUUUUAUGUUCAGAUCCUUGAUGCUAUUCAUUACACCUCUGGUCAUGAUUAUGAUUAUGUCUUGUGAGUAGUUACUUUUGUUCCUGAGGACAUGGAAUAAGUCAUGCUGAUAAUAGUCAUGUGAAUUUGAUAUUCGUUCGGUAUUUUGAUAUGAUGUAUGUUGUUUUUCCUCUAGUGGUGUUAUGUGAAUGUCAACUACAUAACACUUCACCAUAUUUGGGUCUAGAGGAAGGCAUUGGAAAGUAGUAAGUAGAUGAUGGGUUGCUGGAGUGACAGAAGCUUGAACCCCAGUUUAUGCGCUACUUCGUGAGGGGUUGAUUUGGAUCCACUAGUUUAAUGCUAUGGUUAGACUUUGUCUUAAUUCUUCUUUUGUAGUUGCGGAUGCUUGCGAGAUAGGUUAAUCAUAAGUGGGAUGCUUGUCCAAGUAAGGGCAGUACCCAAGUGCCGGUCCACCCACAUAUCAAACUAUCAAAGUAACGAAUGCGAAUCAUAUGAACAUGAUGAAACUAGUAUGACAGAAAUUCCCGUGUGUCCUCGGGAGCGUUUUCCUCCUAUAAGACUUUGUUCAGGCUUGUCCCUUGCUACAAAAGGGAUUGGGCCACUUGCUGCACCGUUGCUACUACUUGUUACUUGUUACUCUUUGCUUGCUACGUUUCACCUCGCUACACAAUCACUUGUUACCGCUACUUUCAGUGCUUGCAGUUAUUACCUUGCUGAAAUCCGUUUAUCAGAGCCUUUUGCUCCUCGUUGGGUUCGACACUCUUACUUAUCGAAAUGACUACGAUUGAUCCCCUAUACUUGUGGGUCAUCAAGUUGCGUGAUCACAUGGUCAUAGGAACAGAAACAUUGACAUGCAGAAAAAUAGUAGCAAUAAACUGACACGAUCAUAUGCUACAUUUAUAGUUCGGUUCUUGUCCAUCACAUCAUUCUCCCAAUGAUGUGAUCCCGUCAUCAAGUGACAACACUUGCCUAUGGCCAGGAAACCUUGACCAUCUUUGAUCAACGAGCUAGUCAACUAGAGGCUCACUAGGGACAGUGGGUUGUCUAUGUAUCCACACAUGUAUUUGAGUUUCCAAUCAAUACAAUUCUAGCAUGGAUAAAUAAAUGAUUAUUACGAACAAGGAAAUAUAAUAAUAACCAAUUUAUUAUUGCCUCUAGGGCAUAUUUCCAACAAUUUCUAUGUAAAAGGUGCGGAUAGUACCUCAUUCUCGUCUAUCCCAAGCUGAGGUAUGUCACCGACCCUAUGCUCAUCCAUGCAUACAAAAUUAUCCACUGGAGCCCUGAAUAAUUUUUUAUAGUAUUCAAAGAUAUAUUGUUUGAGAUUCUCAUGUCCCACAAUUGUACCCUCAUCUUGUUCUAGCUGGAUAAUUUUUUUAUUCCUAUGCUUUCCAUUAGCUAUUAGAUGGAAAUGUUGUGUGUUGUCAUCUCCUUGUACCACUUGGAGGACUUUCGCUCUUAGUGCCCACUUCAACUCCUCCUCUCUGAGUAGUUGUUUGAGCUUUAGUUCAGCCUCCAUUUUUCAAUGACCUCUCAUUGUCACCUAAUAACGUUUGUUCGGCUUUUAUGUCUAGUGUGUUUAUAAGUUUAUAAGUUCGACAAGCCUUUGUUUCUUUUUCUUAUAAAUUACACUAUCGUGCUUUUCCCAACCCCUUAAGAAUUGCCUCAGGUGUCUUAUCUUAUUUUGCCACCUGUCAACAUUCGAGUCACCUUCUGUGAAAUAGCCCAUUCUCAAACCCGUCCCUUUCAAACCAUCCCAAUUCGAAAGAAAAAAGGUUUUUAUUUCCCACAUGUGUUGCUUCUCGCGAGUCUACAAACAGUGGGGUAUGAUCAGAGAUAGCUCUUGGUAACUCUCAAACUGUGACGAGAGGGAAUUUCUGCUCCCAUUCCACACUCAUGAGAACCCGGUCCAACUUCUCAAAAGUUGGGUUAGGUAAAGAGUUUGCCCAAGUAAACUUUCUCCCUGAUAGCUCAAUCUCCCACAAAUUAAGGCUCUCGAUGAUUGAAUUAAACAUAAAUGACCAUCUUCCAUCAAAGUUAUCACUGUUUUUCUCAUCCUGCCUCCAGAUUAUAUUAAAAUCGCCCCCUACUAAAAUCGGCAGUCUCUCGUCCCCGCAGAUUCGGACAAGGUCAGCCAAGAAAUCUCUCUUGAACUCAGGCUGGGCCGCCCCAUGCACAUCUACGAGUGCCCAUUGGAACCCGUCAUCUUUGGAGCGAACUCAAAAUUUGACUGCAAAGUCUCCAUACACCACUUUCGUAGUUGUGGUGUCUCGCACCGAACCCCAAGCAAGAUCCCACCUGAUCUUCCUCUUGGAGGUAGACAAUGCCAGUCAAAUUCAGAACCUCCAUACAACGUGUUUAAAAACGAAGCUAUAUAGUUAUCUCUCCCAGUUUCCAUCAAUGCAACGAAAUCCAAUUUGUGCUCAAUAGUUGUUUCAGCUAGGAAUCUUCUUUUAGCCAAGUCUGCUAGACCUCUGCUAUUCCAAAAUGUUCCUUUCAUCGCUCAUCAUGAAAUUUCUUAGCCGUUUUAAAUCUAGCACUACGACGCACAGCUGAAACAGGAUAGACUUUUCUCUUCCAGGUUCUUUUUGGCCUAUCCUGAACCUCCGACCGAUCCACAUAACCGUUGGACUCUUGUGCGUUAGCAUUCGUUUGUGGAGGAGCCUCAUACCCCUCCUGAACGAUAUCAUUUGUGUCUUCAAGCAAAAGGGGGGUGGCACAAGAUCCUCACAUAAACGCUCUAAGGCUCCCAAACCCAAUGCAUUUAUAUCAGAAUCAUUCAUAGGUUUUACGGCUGCAAUUUUUCUGACCAUCUCAAUUGCCCUCUCUGCCUCUAAGUCUAACAUGUCAUUUACCGAUCUAGAUAUCUCCUGGUCUACCAAACGCUAGAAUAAGGCCUAGUAACGGGCCCGACCCAUGCCAUUUUGGCCCAUGACUGCAACCAAACACACCCUUAAGUAACUUCUACAAUAUCCAUCCCCAACUUCCAGAAAUUCUAACACUUAAAAAAUCAAAAUCAAACUAUUGGCAUUUAAAACUUUCAUACAUUUCAUUUCUGAAAAAAAUGGUCUUUUAGAUUUCGAAAUAUCAGUAUUAUAUUUUUUACAAAAUUUAACUUUAAGAAUUUUCAAAAUUAUAAGGAUUCAAAAUUCAAAUGUUUUAGCACUUAAAAAAAUUCAAACUUUAAAAAAAUUGAACUUUCAAAUGUUUUGAAUUUUAAGAAGUGUGAACUUUCAUUUUUUUAUAAAGGAUGGGUUUUAUUUACUCAAAAUAAAGCAUCAAGAGCAUACAAAUACAAUAAGAACACACCCGGCCACUUUAUAACUAGGAUGCACACAACCAACUCAAACUCACACACACAAAAAUACGAUCGGUAAAUAGCAAAGUCAUAUAAGACCAAAGCUAUGUGCGCGGUUGGAAAAAGAAACCAAAGCGACCAUAUUGGCAAUGGACAAACUACAACAAUGACCAUAUCUGCACCAACAAUUUCAUUACACCACACGGACAACGAGGUUCCUCAACAAUGACACCUUCAGAAAGGGAGCGACGCUCAAAUGCCGCUAUCAUCGGAUCCAACCAUCCAAGGUCAGAUGCAAGAUUUUCACUCUGAGAAUCAGUCCAAGCAUGUCCGAGCAAUUCCUUCAAUAAGGUAAUGGCGUAAAAACAUCGCCAUUGCCAGGUACAGCCAACUCGAGUUGGACCUAGGCUUUCACCCGGGAGCUCAAGACCGGGUGCUCGAGAAGCACCACCAUCGAAGUCACUAUGUGUUGUUGCCACUACUUUUCCACAAUCUCAGUAGCUAUAUGCGAUGUGUGACCGCUGAUGCUGCACAACCAUCCCUCUACAUCAAGCCAUCAUCAAUAGUUUCAAUCUCACCGUUGAAGUCAACCAUCGGAUCUCCAAGAUCAAUCAUGAAGACCUUUUGAUGGAUACUACAUCAAUCCGCCGCGAGACCGCCACCGUAGUCAUGGUGGUCACCACACGUUCGUCGUCACGCCCCUAGCAGACCUAAAGGUCCACACCAAGGAACCACGGGUCCACACGCAUGGAGCCAUGGAUGUGUGUGUGGAUCAUGAAACGACCAAUCCAUGGCCAUGGCCAUUAGAUGAGACUAUCCCUGGCUGAUGGCAGGUGUCCAAGCCCUGCCGACAUGGCCACUACACCAUGGGCGCCAUCCCACAUGAAGGAGCCACCAGGCGGAGCAGCGACCACAAGUGAGGCGAGAUCUACACCAGCAAUGGCUGGAUCAUCCAGGUAACUGUCCGCUGGAUCUGUGGUGACAUCGUUGGAGGAAGCACGGGGUAGAGAGUGUGAAUCUGGGUUGGGGGAGAGGGGAAGGUCGGGGAAGAAGAUCCCUGUGGCGGUUGAGUCCCGCCGCCGCUGACAAACUGUCAUCGAUGAUGACGACGAGGAUGGAACAUCGGAGGCGGCCUCGAGUGCUAGGGUUUCUCGCCCCCGGUGUCGCCCUGGAGCAACACGGGAGGCCGAUGGCGAUUUCAUAGGAGAGAGAGAGAGAAGGUUGAGAAAUAGAAUCACAUGGUUGGGCAUGUGAGGAAAGAGAGAGAUGGAAAGAAGCACAUGGAUGAGGCCCCCUCGUCCUAUCUACCACAUGGUAACCUGACACAGUCACAUGCAAUGCUUGCGGCAAUGACCAUGGGCACAGUUCCCACAAGAGAGCAUUCUUAGAGUAAUAGCGAGUCUCAUCCUCAUGUUGGAUGCCUAUAUAAAGCUUCUCCUUUCCAACAUUCAUCAUACGAAUUGGCCAAAAUUUCUUUCUCAUUUGUGAUCUUUCAUCACAUUCAACUUUCCUUUGUAUAUAUUGUUGCUAAGCUUCAAAUUCUAAUCAGCUGGAGCUAAGCAAUGAAUUCUUCAUGCCAUCGAGCAUUCCUCGUGAGGAACAUCUUUUGUACUUUGGAAUGAGUGGUAUCGAGAAAUUAGUCAGGACGACUUUCUGAGGCUGAGGCGCCGCUUUUUUCUGUUCUCGUCUCUGAGACGUUGAGGUGGUAGACAUUUAUGAUAAGUGCAUUUCUUGUUGAGAAUAGCAUCGAUAAUCAUGUCUAGUCUAACAACUUGCUCAUUUAGGACUACCCUGGACAGUGCAACAAGUAAAAUACCAAAUCCUUGUACAAAAACAAGUUGUUGCCCUGUGGUGAGGAGUUGAAGCUAUGGCAUGAACUCGUCCAUGUGUGCGGUAUUUCUCCUUGUUGUUUCCAUCGUCUCUAGAAAUCGCUAAAAAGAUCAAAAACAAUAUCAAACCGUUGACACUAUGUGUCUACCAUCUCACACAAAUUCGAACCCAUAUCCAUCGCAGAUCUCCAAAAACAAACAAACAAGACGGAUCCAGUGUUGAACAGCAUAGCAACUAAUUCAAAUCAGCACAUGAACACAUCAUAUCAUCAGCACCAACACAAGAUUGUUUUUUUUUCUCUUUUCUUCAAACAAUAUCCUGAUUAAGGUUUAAAUAUUCUUGUGGCGUUGUAAAUACAUGUUGUGUGUCAGAGACAUAAUUCUUUUUCAAAUAAAAAAACAUAACUUUUUUUACCACAAAUUUUUCUAGGCUUAUGUGUGUGUAUCUUCCUUGUUUCAGUUCCAAGUGACAAGAGGCAAACUUGUCACGGUUGACUGAAUAGAACAGUAGCAAUCGACCUGCCCGGAGCUUCUAUUUUUUGUAGGUGAUUUUCUCUGUUAAGAGUGACUUCUUCUUUUUUGAGAGUUUUGUUAAGAGUGACAUGAAAUCUGCAUAUGGCGAUCGAGCACGCAUGCCGGCGAUCCCACACGGCGCACCGCAGCCACAAGCCGAUCGCCCCCACAAAAUCUGCCCGACGGCUCCCACCGGGAUGGGAUUCCCCGGUGCCAAUGGCGCGCGCCCACCUCACCCCCUCUUAUCCCCGCCUCACCCACUCGCGCCACGCCCCUUAUCCCCUCCUCUUACAAACCCACACAAACUAAUCAUCGCCCACCACCCUCCAACGAUCACCAACCAAAACCCCUCCACACGCCCGCCCGCGCGCGCCACGGACGCAGCAAUGGCCGCCCUCGCCGCCUCCAUCGCCACCUCCACGGCGUUCGCCGCGAAGCCGCGCCUGUCCCGCCCGCCGGCGCGCCUCUCCGUCUCCUGCUCCGCGUCCAGCGGCGACAACAACAACAGCACCGCCACCCCCUCGCUCUCCGCCUCCAUCAAGACCUUCUCGGCCGCGCUGGCGCUCUCCUCCGUGCUCCUCUCCUCCGCCGCCACCUCCCCGCCCCCCGCGGCUGCCGACAUCGCCGGCCUGACCCCGUGCAAGGAGUCCAAGGCCUUCGCCAAGCGGGAGAAGCAGUCGGUCAAGAAGCUCAACUCGUCGCUCAAGAAGUACGCGCCCGACUCCGCCCCGGCGCUCGCCAUCCAGGCCACCAUCGACAAGACCAAGCGCCGGUUCGAGAACUACGGCAAGUUCGGCCUGCUCUGCGGCUCCGACGGCCUGCCCCACCUCAUCGUCAGCGGCGACCAGCGGCACUGGGGCGAGUUCAUCACCCCCGGCGUGCUCUUCCUCUACAUCGCCGGCUGGAUCGGCUGGGUCGGACGCAGCUACCUCAUCGCCGUCAGCGGCGAGAAGAAGCCCGCCAUGAGGGAGAUCAUCAUCGACGUCGAGCUCGCCGCCAGGAUCAUCCCCAGGGG
Molecule: long non-coding RNA, 23036 nt
Filed under: Hordeum vulgare
Lineage: Eukaryota; Viridiplantae; Streptophyta; Magnoliopsida; Poales; Poaceae
Description: long non-coding RNA (HVUL_LNC013953)
Source: RNAcentral